CCUACGGGAGGCAGCAGUGAGGAAUAUUGGUCAAUGGACGAGAGUCUGAACCAGCCAAGUAGCGUGCAGGAUGACGGCCCUAUGGGUUGUAAACUGCUUUUAUAAGGGAAUAAAGUGAGUCUCGUGAGACUUUUUGCAUGUACCUUAUGAAUAAGGACCGGCUAAUUCCGUGCCAGCAGCCGCGGUAAUACGGAAGGUCCGGGCGUUAUCCGGAUUUAUUGGGUUUAAAGGGAGCGUAGGCCGGAGAUUAAGCGUGUUGUGAAAUGUAGAUGCUCAACAUCUGCACUGCAGCGCGAACUGGUUUCCUUGAGUACGCACUAAGUGGGCGGAAUUCGUGGUGUAGCGGUGAAAUGCUUAGAUAUCACGAAGAACUCCGAUUGCGAAGGCAGCUCACUGGAGCGCAACUGACGCUGAAGCUCGAAAGUGCGGGUAUCGAACAGGAUUAGAUACCCUGGUAGUCCGCACGGUAAACGAUGGAUGCCCGCUGUUGGUCUGAAUAGGUCAGCGGCCAAGCGAAAGCAUUAAGCAUCCCACCUGGGGAGUACGCCGGCAACGGUGCAACUCAAAGGAAUUGACGGA
Molecule: ribosomal RNA, 579 nt
Filed under: uncultured organism
Description: bacterial SSU rRNA
Rfam family: Bacterial small subunit ribosomal RNA
Source: RNAcentral